UACAGAGGUGGCAAGCGUUGUUCGGAAUUACUGGGCGUAAAGGGCGCGUAGGCGGUUCGUUAAGUCCUGUGUGAAAUCCCCCGGCUCAACUGGGGAACUGCACAGGAAACUAGCGGGCUUGAGUUCGGGAGAGGGAAGCGGAAUUCCGCGUGUAGCAGUGAAAUGCGUAGAGAUGCGGAGGAACACCGAUGGCGAAGGCAGCCCCCUGGGCCAAUACUGACGCUCAGGCACGAAAGCGUGGGGAGCAAACAGG
Molecule: ribosomal RNA, 253 nt
Filed under: uncultured bacterium
Lineage: Bacteria
Description: partial 16S ribosomal RNA
Rfam family: Bacterial small subunit ribosomal RNA
Source: RNAcentral